UAGUUAACACAUUUAAAGUACAGAAUUCCUGGGUGACUUUAUCAUGUAUCUGCUCACAUCUCAGUAAAGCUGUAUUUUUAAGGAUAGGGAUACACUGUGGAUUCGUGCAUCAGCUUUUCAGUGAGUUCAGUGCUAAGCAAGAUCUAGUAGCCGGGUCCUCCUAACCAAAGUGUAGAAACAGAUGUACCUGUUCUUAACACGGAACCCUCUUUCUACACGCCAACCAGUCUCCCUUCAAAGUUUCUGCUGCUGCUGUUGCUGCUGUUACAUGCUGUCAAGUCACCUCCAACUUCUGGUCACCCUAAGAGAGAUCUCUUUUAGGUAUCCGGCUGCAGAGCCAGAGGUUGGGAGUUCGAUUCCCCCACUGUGCCCCUGGGAGAAGAACCAGCCGGUGUGGCCUUGGGAGCAAGCUGCACACUCCCGGGGCAACUCCCAAAAGAAGCGGGAGAAGAGCCAGCCGGUGUGGCCUUGGGGGCAAGCUGCACACGCCCAGGGCAACUCCCAAAAGGAAGGGAACGGCAAACCACUUCUGAGUAUUCUGUACCUGGAAAACCCUGGAAAAGGUCACCAUACAUUAACAGUUCCUGCCAGAGUUUCUGUCAAGCCAAAGAACGAAAAGAGUAUAUGUCUAUGUACAACAGAAUCCUCCAUUAUCUCCAUUUUGGUCCACCAAAAUAUUGUCUCAGCUUGAGUUGACUGUGCACCCUCUUGGGGUUGAUGGCUGCUGUUCUGAGGAAGAGGAAGCUCUCUUUCCUUCCAGAAUAGACAUCCUGAUCCAUUCAUCAACUAAGACUAGUGAAUUUGGAACAGCUUUGGUGAAACUCACUGCCAUCCCAGUGCCAAAAAAUGCUAUGGAAGCUCCGUUGUGACUACACAGCCUUGGCAUCCGGCUGAUCUGCUAAGUCUCAGAAGGAGAGGUGGGUCUGAAUUUUGUACUGUUUUACUUAAGCUGUUCUUUUCUCCCUCACUGCCAAAAAGAAAGAAGGAAAAAGAAAUUGGGAGCAAGGGAGAGACAGAGAGAGUAGGGCAAGGAGAUAUAUUUUGUGUAAGAAAGGAAAAAGACAUUUUUUUUACACCAGAAAAAUAAGAAAAAUAAAAUGUGUUGCGAGUUGAAGCUAACA
This 1121-nucleotide long non-coding RNA is filed under the name Pogona vitticeps (central bearded dragon). RNAcentral describes it as "lncRNA (ENSPVIG00000009276.1)". Lineage: Eukaryota; Metazoa; Chordata; Lepidosauria; Squamata; Agamidae. The record is from RNAcentral.